Molecule: unclassified non-coding RNA, 259 nt
Filed under: Glomeraceae sp.
Lineage: Eukaryota; Fungi; Glomeromycota; Glomeromycetes; Glomerales; Glomeraceae
Description: partial contains 5.8S ribosomal RNA and internal transcribed spacer 2
Rfam family: 5.8S ribosomal RNA (bases 1-71)
Source: RNAcentral
GUGAAUCAUCGAAUUUCUGAACGCAAAUUGCACUCUCUGGUAUUCCGGAGAGUAUUCCUGUUUGAGGGUCAGUUUAAAUAGAAAUCGGUGUGGUUGCUGCCUUUCUUGGUGACGCACCGGAUGUUGUUCGUCUUUCCUUCGGUUUAGUGACCUACAAUUUUGCAUUAUUUUUUCGAACUGAUGUAAAUGAUUUUACGUACGUGUGCGAUAUCAUAUUCUAGGUGCGGUCAUCCUCAUGAUCCUUGCCUAUAGUUUCUCA